CUGACCUCAGAUCAGGCAAGACCACCCGCUGAGUUUAAGCAUAUCA
This 46-nucleotide ribosomal RNA is filed under the name Marchantia emarginata subsp. tosana. RNAcentral describes it as "Marchantia tosana partial 26S rRNA". RNAcentral also lists the same sequence under 2 other names. The record is from RNAcentral. Lineage: Eukaryota; Viridiplantae; Streptophyta; Marchantiopsida; Marchantiales; Marchantiaceae.